ACCUUGAAAUCUAAAAUGGCCUCUGCUUGCGAGCUAUCGCUGGAAGAGGAGCCCACGUCCGAUCACGCUUGUUGGUGAGGUAACGGCUCACCAAGGCGACAACGGGUAGCCGGCCUGAAAGGGUGUCCGGCCACACUGGAACUGAAACACGGUCCAGACUCCUACGGGAGGCAGCAGUGGGGAAUAUUUCGCAAUGGGCGCAAGCCUGACGAAGCAACGCCGUGUGGAGGAUGAAGGCCCUACCGGUCGUAAACUCCUGUCUAGCGGGACGAAGCUCAUCAGAGUGAAUAAUUCUGGUGAUUGACUGUACCGCUGGA
Molecule: ribosomal RNA, 317 nt
Filed under: uncultured bacterium
Lineage: Bacteria
Description: bacterial SSU rRNA
Rfam family: Bacterial small subunit ribosomal RNA
Source: RNAcentral